Bos taurus (domestic cattle) is the source of this 849-nucleotide long non-coding RNA. Lineage: Eukaryota; Metazoa; Chordata; Mammalia; Artiodactyla; Bovidae. The record is from Ensembl.
GGACAGGUUCCCCUCAGGGACGGGUUCCCCUUGUGGACGGGUUCCCCUCGGGGGACGGGUUACCCUCCGGGGAUGGGUUCCCCUUGGGGGAUGGGUUACCCUCCGGGGAUGGGUUCCCCUCUGGAAAUGGGUUACCCUGAGGGUAUGGGUUACCCUCCGGGGACAGGUUACCCUCUGGGGACAGGUUACCCUCAGGGGACGAGUUCCCCUCCGGAGAUGGGUUCCCCUCUGGGUACGGGUUACCCUCUGGGAACAGGUUACCCUCGGGGGAUGGGUUACCCUCGGGAGAUGGGUUACUUCGGGGGAUGGGUUACCCUCGGGGGACGGGUUACCCCUCAGAGAUGGGCUAGGGUGCUGAAGAUUCUCCGUCACUUCUCUCGUGGAGACGCUUCCUCACCUUUCUCUGAAAUCUGAGUCUGUCUUUCUGUCCGACAGUGGAGCACGAUGGAUGCGACACUAUGCUGGUUCUGGGCCUGAUAGUUUCUUCUUUCAUGCUUUUGGGAGCCCUGAGCUCCCGUGUGGAAAGUCCAGCUCCCCUGAUGGAGACACAGCUGGGAAGACCCAGAGUCAGAGAGGCCCUGAGAGAGUCCUGCUGACCAACUCUACACACACAGGUUUCCGUCACUGGAACCGAUGGGACGCAUCACACUGACUCUAUUUCUUGGCUUUAAAUGGCUUACGCAGCGUUGUUCUAUCUCAGAGGCUCCAUCCUCACGGGAAAGGAAAGAAAAGGGGGAGAAAAAGACCUCGCGGUACCAUUGUCGUUCUUCUUUGCUGAUCAGCAGUUAUCACGUACCCUAGCUUGGGGAUUUUACAUCCCAGAGAGAACCUCCUUUUCCCAGUUCCUCC